CAAUAGCGUAUAUUAAAGUUGUUGCGGUUAAAAAGCUCGUAGUUGGAGUUCUGCCAGGUGACGCUCGUCCGCCCAAGUGGUGUGUACAGGGCGUGCAUCUGGCCCUUUCAAGGGGAACGUGUCUGCACUUUACUGUGUGGUGCGAGAUCCUUGACUUUUACUUUGAGGAAAUCAGAGUGUUCCAAGCAGGCUCUCGUCGUGUAUAGCUCAGCAUGGAAUAAUAGCAUUGGACUUCGUUUCUAAGCUGUUGGUUGCAAGAAGCGAGGUAAUGAUGAAGAGGGAUAGUUGGGGGCAUUCGUAUUUAACUGUCAGAGGUGAAAUUCUUGGAUUUGUUAAAGGCUAACUUAUGCGAAAGCAUUUGCCAAGGAUGUUUUCAUUAA
Molecule: ribosomal RNA, 380 nt
Filed under: uncultured eukaryote
Lineage: Eukaryota
Description: partial 18S ribosomal RNA
Rfam family: Eukaryotic small subunit ribosomal RNA
Source: RNAcentral